Phanerochaete sordida is the source of this 85-nucleotide non-coding RNA. The record is from the annotation of a GenBank genome assembly. Lineage: Eukaryota; Fungi; Basidiomycota; Agaricomycetes; Polyporales; Phanerochaetaceae.
ACGAGUGUGCCGAAAUGGUAGCCGGGUGACUUUUAGGAAGUUAUGAUAAUAAACAAUCGUAAGAGUUCAAAUCUCUUUACUCGUA